CAACUAUUCCUCUAGACCUAAUUAUCAUAAUCACACGUAUGAUAACUCUCACAACAAUGUACCUUACCAACCACCUCCAAAAUAUCGCAAUUAUGCUACACGUAGAUCCCAUCACCAAUCCCCAUCCACUAAAAGACCCCAAUAUACGUCCUCUCAUCAUAACUACGCUCCUUCAAAAUCACCAUACCAAUAUAAGAGGAAUACAUACCAACUACCCUCGUACAAUCAAAGGAAAUUUCCUCACGAUAAUCACAAUCCUAUACCUCAAUCACCUAGAUAUCACAACCCCUCUGGUUUUAAUUUCGCACCAAAACCACAAAGAUCCAGAUAUACAAAUGAUCAUAAUGAGUAUUCUAACUACUCAAAAUCACCCACAAUCCCAAAUCACACUAAUAGAUAUCAAUUAUUAUCAGUCGAUUCUGACUUUGAUAAUGAGGAUCCUUUUUUAGAGAUACGUACUCACCAACCUGCACUAGCUCAGACACCUUACCCAUCACGUUCUCAAAAAAGAACUUUAAAUCUAGAGGAAGACGAAGUGGAAGAAGGGAACAAAAGAGAAAGAUUGGAAAGGCAAUAACACCCUCUACUGAUUCCUGUAAUGGCAUUUUUAACCUCUCCCAAAAAGUUUUAUCAGCCGCACAAUUAUCCGUUUUAAGUAAGGGUCUUAAAUUCGCUCCAACUUCCUCUUUUAAUUCAUUUCAAGCUUUUCUCGAUGUAAACAAAUUUGUUAGAAAGGCUACAUUGAAAAGAUUUUUUAUAAGUAAAAAUGAUGAGGAACCCCCCCUUUUUACUCUAUCC
Non-coding RNA from Pelobates cultripes (western spadefoot toad), 798 nucleotides. Lineage: Eukaryota; Metazoa; Chordata; Amphibia; Anura; Pelobatidae. The record is from the annotation of a GenBank genome assembly.